GAAGGUUACUUUUAAAAUGUAUCCAGUUACAGAAUACAUGCCCAAAAAUGUAAUAUGUAACGUAUUCCGUUAUAUCACGCAAUCUGAGUAUUCUAUUCUGAAUACUCGGAUUACUUCCACAUUGAAUUGCAUUUUAUAAGUAUAGAAAUGCGGCAUCAAAUCCUGCUUACUAAACAAGUCUAUUCUGGUGUAUUCUUCUUCUGCGUUAGGCCCAAGUCUCCCUGAAAGUGAACUAUUUUAUAUAAUUUGCUGUAGUGGAACAAAGACUAUAAGGGUAUGUUCAUGCGAAAGAUAUUCGCUAUUACAUCUAAAAAGAAAUUCACUGAGCUAAAUGCAUAGCGGGUGCCUGUUACGUCCAAAGAGGCAUAUGCUUUGUAGAACUGGAUCGGACCGAGGUGCGUUCGCUUUCACAUCACAAGCGAACCGUGCCAGGGUUCGUUUGGAAGCGAACCGA
This is a long non-coding RNA of Gadus macrocephalus (Pacific cod), 454 nucleotides long. RefSeq lists it as uncharacterized. NCBI's taxonomy places the organism in Eukaryota, Metazoa, Chordata, Actinopteri, Gadiformes, Gadidae. The transcript has 2 exons. The record is from RefSeq and is a predicted model, not a curated record.